Non-coding RNA from Xylaria palmicola, 77 nucleotides. Lineage: Eukaryota; Fungi; Ascomycota; Sordariomycetes; Xylariales; Xylariaceae. The record is from the annotation of a GenBank genome assembly.
GCCCAGUUAGCUCAAUCGGUAGAGCGUGAGACUCUUAAUCUCAAGGUUGCGGGUGAGUAGCAUGAACACCCCGGGCU